RNAcentral lists this long non-coding RNA (6786 nucleotides) under Daucus carota (carrot). Its description in RNAcentral is "long non-coding RNA (DCAR_LNC003989)". The record is from RNAcentral. Lineage: Eukaryota; Viridiplantae; Streptophyta; Magnoliopsida; Apiales; Apiaceae.
GGAAUUGGCCACCAUAAUUGGUUCUACCCAAUUGGAAAACUGUUUGGGAACCCAAGGCAGCUUGUUCAAGAGAAGGGGUUUCCAGAACUCCUCGUGAUUGGUGCUUUUUAGAUCAUUACCUCCUGGAAGUCAGAGUGCGGAUACAUUUCUAGCACUGAAAGACGUGGGACGACAUCAUAUUGCAGGUAUACUACUAAUGCUGGAAAUUGUUAUUGGUUUUUUUUUCUUGCAGUACUAUUAAUACUUGUAGUUUAGCCGUAGUAAGUUAUCUUGUUCUAAAGGAUCAGCACAAGGGAAAAUUUCUGGUCUAACAAACAUAUCAUCACAUCCUAGUUGCAUCAUUAACGCAGCAUCUGUUGGAGUCACAAUGCCUCCAGUAGCAGCAUGCACAACAGGAAACCUUCCCCAUUUGCCUAGUCUGGGCUUACUAUGCAUUAGAAUCUCCAAUUUCCUUGAAAAGUGUGAAAAACUUUAUCUUCAUCCAUAUCGAUAAAAAUUAAAACCUAUGUUACUUGAACUCAUCUCCGUCCUAUUUUUGGACAUGGGCAUCGGGAAUGGUAACGAUGCACUAAUAAACAAGUAGGGUAAAAAUUAUUCAUUAAAAUCAUAUAACCAAAAAACUCACAUCUAACAUGUAUUAUGAGAGACUUUGCGAUUUAGGUGUUUUAAGGUUUUCUCAUCCCAUCUUCUCAUCCUUCUCUUUUGCAUCCUAAUUAGCACUUAGCAGCAAUGUCGAUGCUGUUGUUUUAUGCAGUUAUGGAUUAAAGUGUGAUAAUUUUUGUAAAUACAAGCCUGAUUAUUUCCCUAUUAUAUGUGAAGUUAUUAUAACAAAUGCUUUCAAAUUAAAAACCAUAUAGUUUUCUGGUUAAAAAAUGAUUUACAUUUAUAAAUAUAUCAUCUGAGCCUAGAGAACAGAGGGAAGUUAUUUUUAUUAUAGGUUAAAGUGACUAGUGUUCACCAAAUCUGGUAGAUGAAGAAUGAAAAUAUAGACUUUGCAGACUUGUAAUCUAGUACAAUUGAUGGAAUUGUGAUACUUUCGAUGAAUUUACACUUGUUAAUCAGGAUUAGUCUGUCAUGUGUAUGUCAGUAUGUGGCUGUUUAGGUUUGCUUAUUUGGAAAAGACAAGCACAAUUCUCCCGCAUAAAAAGUACCUAGUUGUGUUGUGUACAUGUGCCUGUUAGGUUUAGCUUAAUUUGAUAAAAUUUGCACUUGUCUUUUAUCAAAUUAAUAUAUUUUUGACUAUUUUUUUUUACUCCAAAUUCAUUUGUUUUGAUAAAUAAAUUUUAUAAUGGAGUAUCAAUCAUCAGGUGUAGAAUAUCUUAUUGGUAUCAUAGUAUGUAAGCAAUUAAAAAGUGCUUCUACUUAUUUACACAAACGGUUCAAGAAAAGCAGAAGCCAGAAGCAACUCCGACUUCUGCUAACCAAACAGGCACAUAGUAAAGUUCUGUUAAGACCACUUUUUAUCGGAGACCUCGGAGAACAUGCAUGUUUUGCAAAUAAAACAUUGCAAAACUUAUAAUUUUGCAAAUCAUAUUCAAUGAAAAUCAUUUUUUAAUUAAAAAUCUUGAAAAAUCAUACUCCUUCAGUUCCACCCAAAUGAUUAUAUUUGGGUGGGGCAUAGAGAUUAAGAAAAUAUGUAAAGUAAGAGUAUGAAAGAAAGAAAAGUGAGGAUAGUGAUGAAACCAUUUGAUAUUUAAUACAUAAAGUAAGGAUAGUGGUGAAAAGUAGUGGGGGUAGUUGAUUUUUAUAUUAUAAAAUUUUACUAUACUUAAUAAAUUUUGAAAUAUAGAAUGGAUGGGACAUCCCAAAAAGGAAAGUGUAAAUAAAUGGUUGAGACGGAGGGAGUAUAUGUAUUGCGAGGAAGACAUUGCAAGACUGGACAUUGCAAAACAUAGGUUGUGCAAAAGAAUGUCUGGCUUGCAAAACGUACAUUAUUUUUUGGAUUUUCAAUGAAAUAGCACUAUUCAAAUAACAUACUUUAUAAAAUAUAAUGUUGUUAAUGUUUUGGUGCAGAACAUGCAUCGUUUCCGAGGAUUCUGAUAAAAAGUGAUUUUGGAGGUCUCCGAUAAAAAGUGGUCUUCAUAGAACUUUACUCUCUAUAUCACAAACCUCCUUAAAAUACAAUAUAAAAACUAAAAAAAAUCUUAAAAUUAUAUUUAAAUAUAGCAAAAAUUGUAUUUAAAUCGUUAGGAGAUGUAGAAUAAUUAUAGUGAAGUCAGAUUGACAUGAAAAUUCAAAUUAAAAAUGGAGGGGAUUAUGUGGGAUCAUGUGUGGGAGGAUGAAUUUUAAUUGUGUGUGGUGACUUCUAGAAGGCUUGUAGUUUGUACAGUAAUUUGGUUAACUACACAACUAAAAACCUUCUUAAAAUAAAAACUAAAAUAAAAAAAAUUCUGAAUCACAUCGAAAUAGCACAUAUGAUAUGCAACUGAAAGUUGGGAGAUGAAUAAAAAUACCAUUAAGUCAGAUUUCUAAAAAACUCACCGUUGACGAGAAAAAUCAAAAUAGAAACGGAUGAGAUUAUGUGGGUUAUGUGUGGGAGAGCGUAUUUUAAUUGUGUGGAGCGUAUUUUAAUUGUGUGGUGACUUCUAGGGGCCAUUAGAUUAGAUUCGUCCAAGGGCUUGGAUUAAAUUUAUUUAAAGGCUUAGAAUAAGUUUGUACAAUAAUUUGGUUUGUAUUUGAGCAAUUGCUUAUAUAUAUAUAUUUGGUUUUUAAUGUUCUUGGUCACCAAGAGGACUGAAAUUCAGAAAGAAAAAAAAAACGAACUGGGCCUGAAUUGUGAAAGCCCUGAACCAGGACCGAAAUUUGGGUUCGCUUCUCGGUGAAUUGGGAAAUUCUAAUAUGGUCAAUUGAUGGAAUGAUUAUUCUUCUGUUUCCGAACAGGAUUUUUUUAUCGAUACAACCCUUCUGUUUCAACAACUCCCCAAGUUGUGAUCCCCCCGCCCCGCCCCUCCCCUCCCCUCCAAAAGGUGAUUUUAGUAAUUACCAAGUAUAAGUUAUUGUCCAGCAGUAUCUCGACCCAAUAUUAGGCAUCUUGCCCGGUGGAAAAGCUACAUCUAGUUCCGAACCAGCGAUUUGGUUGAUAUCCAGUGUUGUUUUUCAAGCGUGGAAGUCACCUAAUUAGAAGUUGUCAAAAUUUUAUAGCGAUCAGAGCUAACCACAAGGUAUUCUUUUCUCUCAGAUUUGCAAUUACAUAUGAAUUUGUUUAAAUUGUAAUGAUCCUCUCAUUUUUAGGAAGUAAGGGUAAAAUUGAAAUUACAUUUUCGAAUUUAGUGGUUUCAACGAGACCCUGCUGUCUACUAGCCAUCAAUUCUUCUGGGCAUAUCCCCUUGUACUCAAAUCUUGUGAGUGAUCCACAUUUUAUACGGGUAUACUUUGUUUAAGAUACAAUUUAACUGCAAAUUUUACUUAUGUAUCAAGUUCGGAGUUCGGUGCAUUUAAUAGUUUUAAUUUAGUGUCUACUAUCUACCUUAUGUGAUUCUGAUAUGUAUGUAUGAUACUUGCACAAAAUUUUCUUCAAAUUUGGUAUUCUAUCUUGAUGAGCUUUUGCCUAUGCAAGUUACAAGUAUCAUUGUUUUACGCAAAUUAAGCUAUUAAUACUUUCUAAUCGAUAGCUUCAGGAUCACAAAUCUCUUAGAUUUUAGUACCUUCAAAAGGAAACUUUUUCUCUGGGGUUAAGCAUCAAUCUCAUGAUUAAUUACGUCCAAAUAUAUGAGAUUGGUCACCAUUUGCAAACAUUACCUAAUAUAAUCCUUAACUUCUUUUAUUUGUACAAGUCGUUUAAGUCGACUGGAAUUAAAAUUUUGAAGGAUUGAACAAAUCUACAAGUUUCAAGCUCGACCUCUCAAAUCCGUAUCUUACAGAUCUAGAGGAAAAAGUCUAUGUUUCUCCACCACAUCUUAUCUCAUUUUCAAGCAGUUCAACACAUGCCUCUGAUUUACAUAUCCAUAUGUUAGGGUUUACAUCUGAUAAGUGCAGUUUAAUUCAGUUAUUUGUGGUUGUAGUUGUUUAGGUUUCUAGUGCCUAUGUUAUUUAUAUAUAUUCUAGAAAUUGUUGUAGGUGUAUUACUUUUUGCAGUUGAAAGGAUGGAGAUGACGAAGUGUGUGUGUGUGUGUGUGUUUUAUUAUUUUUUUCUUUUUGCAAUCGAAGCCAUGUAAUUGCUACGUCAUUAUGUGACUUUUAAAUCACUGCCGUGUCAGUCGCCUGACAUGUUGGUUUGGGCAUUGAAAAUUCAACUGACUCUUGACCGGUUUGUGCAAAUUAAAGAAGUCGGUGACUGGACUGAGUCAUAUUUGUGAAAAGUGAUGAAAUUGGUAGAAUCGUAUGAAAUGAAUACCAGAUAACUCAGGGUAUUAUUAUGGGUAGGGGGUGUGAUUAUUGAUUGCCAUGACCAUUAUUCAUGAGGGAGGAGAUAUGAGUCUUGCCACUAGGCAAUCAACAAAACCUUGAAUAUGCAAUUUUUUUAGUCCAACUAAUUUCAAAAACCCAGUCAUGUUAUAUGCUGAUAUCAUUACUCUCUCAACCUUCAGUGCGGUGAUUGUUGCUUGAAAUUCACUUGGUUUCUUUAAUUGACUUGUACUCUGCUAUGUUAUGUUCUGUAAUAAUUUAUAAUUUUACUUAAAGAUACAGCUUCAACUGCAGAACUAAUUAUGACAUUAUAGUAUUAGCAACAAGCCUUUUGUUUGAUUGGCAGUUAUUUGGGGUAAGUGCAUGAUUAGGUUGCCAUGUCUUGUUACAGGUUAUUAGGGUACUUAAGAUGGAUCCUGAAAUAAAUCUGCAAGAUCUUCACCCAAAAAAGAGAUGGAGGAGUGAGUUGUAUGCUCAAUUUGUUCUUGCCUGGCAGAACAAUAAUCAGUUACCUGCUGAAGGCACUCCAGAAAAAAAUGUUAAUAGCUUGGAUGACAAUCAUCAGCUGGCUGUUUAUACUCCUGCUGACGCUUCUGCUUCUGAUGGAACUGUUACUCAACCUCCACAGAACCAGGCCGGUCGGAUUGCGCCAUCUGUGGAAGCUUACACUGUCCAGUGUUCACUCUGUUAUAAGUGGAGGCUUAUUCCUUCGAAGGAGAAAUUCGAGGAAAUCCGUGAACACUUAAUAGAGCAGCCUUUUGUAUGCAGAGCACUUUAUCAGUGGCGUCCUCAGAUAUCUUGCACUGUUAAAACUGAUCUUCAACCAGAUGGUAGCAAGUUAUGGGCAAUUGAAACGCCCAACAUUCCUCGACCCCCUCCUAGGUGGAAGCGCAUUUUGAAGAUCAGGGCUUCCCAAGGAACCAGAUUUGCAGAUGUGUACGUAUUACUCUACAUUUUUUUUUUAAAUAUGGUUUAGUCUUAAUAUCUGCUGCUUCGUUUCAGUUUAAAAGUUGAGCUUUUCUUUACUUUCAGGUAUUAUUAUACACCAUCGAACAAGAGACUGCGGUCCACAACUGAAGUUCAAAGGUACUCUUGUCUCUUAGGUUUGUUUUCAGUUGAGCAGAGCGUUCAAAAACUUGCAAAUCUUUAUGUUUGGUUUAAAUGAUAAUAUUGAUGAAGUGGUCCAAAAAUUAUAGAGUAAAGUGACAUAAGGUCCUUCUACCAUAAAACAUGGCCGGCGCACCAACUUGACCUCUUCUCUGUAGUGUUUUCGAUAUUUUUCAAACAUUAUUUAGAUUCUGUUUGUAUUUGGGCAUAUUUUUAAGAAUGUAAAUGUUUGCUCUAUAUUAACCUAUCGUCAUGCAAAUUUCGCAAACUAUUGUUAUGCCAAUGGGCGCUCAGAUAUAGAUGGUUUGCUUCCCUUCAUGUUAUAGUACAAUAUGUUUAAACAGUUGAACAACGUUGUGUUCUUGGCUUGAGUCCAGCACUGACAGUGCCUAUUUGCAAUAUUCCAUAUGGGAUUACCAUUCACAGGUAUUUGCGUGAACAUCCCAAUGAGGCGGAUGGAGUUGACUUGGGCCAAUUUUCUUUUAAAAUCCCACUGUUGGUGAAGGAGAAGUCCUUGGAAGAACAUACCACCCGUGUUUUACAAGACGGUCGCAAACGCCGCAGGAUGCCUUGAAAUGGAGGAAGAAAGGAGUGAUCUGUAUCCAAUCUGGAUAUGAAUAUUGAAAUGGGCUACAUAGAGUUGGUACUUUAGUCGUGUGACAUUUGAGUGAUUGUUGAAGACUUGGCAACUGCUUUUGAUGUAAUGACAUGUAAACUGUUAGUCUCCUUGUGAAUUCAAGAGUAGAGCCAUUUUCAUUUUAUCCAAUCGACUUUCUAGUUAGUAAUUACUAUAAUUUUGUAUAAUAGAAUAUACAGAUAUAAAACCAUUUCUUUACAUAAAAUGCUAUGGGCGUCAUGUGUUUUGUGAGAGGAGUUGUUGGGGCUUGUUUCAUAUUUACCAUGACAUUUCAGCCCAAUUUUAAGAGACUUUAUUGGUGGGUUUGGUUUAACAAAUGAUGAGUAUCAGUAUUGGUUUGCUCCCUUGUGUAUUAGACCAUAUAUAUGGUGCAUUUUGCAUAGGUCAAAAGUCAAGUUUAGCUUUUUUCUCAAAAGGCUGGCUGGCAUGAAGCUUGAUCUUAGUGAAAGUAUGAUCAAGCAGCUUACCCUUCUCGGAAUUGGCCACCAUAAUUGGUUCUACCCAAUUGGAAAACUGUUUGGGAACCCAAGGCAGCUUGUUCAAGAGAAGGGGUUUCCAGAACUCCUCGUGAUUGGUGCUUUUUAGAUCAUUACCUCCUGGAAGUCAGAGUGCGGAUACAUUUCUAGCACUGAAAGACGUGGGACGACAUCAUAUUGCAGGUAUACUACUAAUGCUGGAAAUUGUUAUUGGUUUUUUUU